CCUACGGGAGGCAGCAGUGGGGAAUAUUGCACAAUCGGGGAAACCCUGAUGCCGCGACGCCGCGUGAGCGAUGAAGUAUUUCGGUAUGUAAAGCUCUAUCAGCAGGGAAGAAAAUGACGGUACCUGACUAAGAAGCCCCGGCUAACUACGUGCCAGCAGCCGCGGUAAUACGUAGGGGGCAAGCGUUAUCCGGAUUUACUGGGUGUAAAGGGAUCGUAGACGGCUGUGCAAGCCAGAUGUGAAAGCCCGGGGCUCAACCCCGGGACUGCAUUUGGAACUGUGUGGCUGGAGUGUCGGAGAGGCAGGCGGAAUGCCUAGGGUAGCGGUGAAAUGCGUAGAUAUUAGGAGGAACACCAGUGGCGAAGGCGGCCUGCUGGACGAUGACUGACGUUGAGGCUCGAAAGCGUGGGGAGCAAACAGGAUUAGAUACCCGAGUAGUC
RNAcentral lists this ribosomal RNA (440 nucleotides) under uncultured bacterium. RNAcentral describes it as "partial 16S ribosomal RNA". It matches the Rfam family "Bacterial small subunit ribosomal RNA", at positions 338 to 795 of the family's 1533-position model. The record is from RNAcentral.